GAAUCCUUCGUCGCCCAGUCGUGGUGGACCGGAACUACUCCACCACCACCACCACCACCACCAGGGAGGUCCAUCCGGUGGCGAGCGCGAGGGAGGAACAUGCGCCUUGAUUCUUCCGCUCGCGCAAGCUUCGGCGGAGUUCCCACCCACCUCUGCUGACGCCGCGCCUCCGAUCUCUCAUCGCCCCGGGACCCCUCCGCCGCCGGAUCUGCUCCGGCGAUGGGGGAGCAGCCGCAGCCGCAGCAGGAGCCGCUCCUCGAGGUAGAACAAUGUGUCACUUCCAUACCGGAAGAUCAUGAAGCCACUUGCUGGGGCUGCGGUCUUCGGCUUGUAUUUUCAAGUUAUUCACCUGUCUACAAGUGUGGCUGGUGUGGAGCAGUCACCCAAGGCAACCAAACUUCAAGAAAACCUGACAGUGUAUGUUUUUCUCACUGGAGGCGUUUCCGGGAUGGGUUCUUUGUGACUGUGCUUGCCCUCUUCAUGCUCUUCGUUAUAUGUGGCGGGGUCUGGGCGGUGUAUCCAGUUGUUUUCUCAAUCAGCAUCUUCUGUGGCAUCUUUCACUGCACAGUAGCAGCUCUCUUAUCUGUAUUUACAAUUGCAAGUUAUUGUUUGGCCUCUUUCAAGUCUGCUGGUGCACCACCAGGCAUACGUUGGGGAAGCUAUCCCAUGGUUGGAAAAAAUGAUCUUGAGAACUAUACUUUCUGUACAUAUUGUAGUAAACCUAAACCCCCAAGAGCACAUCACUGCCGAUCUUGUAAAACAUGUGUGGUGGACAUGGAUCAUCAUUGCCCAUUUAUUGGGAACUGUGUGGGAGCUUCAAAUCACCAAGCUUUUGUCAUUUUUCUCAUCUCUGUGGUCACAAGUUGCAGCUAUGCUGCUAUUAUGACCAUUUAUGCAAGUUAUCGUAUAUGGCCCCCUCUAGAGUUUCCAAAUGUAUCAUCAUAUGGUCAAAUGGGUUCUAAGAAAGUACUGAUGGAGAUCAUUACUAGCGUGGCCAGUUCUGCAUUCUUCCUAUCAGCAAGGGGUAUAAUUCUGGUAUAUCUUGCAUUUGCCAGUCUAUCAGUUAAUGCGGGUAUAGCUGUAUUGCUGUGCCAGCAACUUAGCUUAAUAUAUGAAGGAAAUACAUAUCUUAGCCAUAUAAGUUCACCAACUGAUAUUCAUGGAGAGAGAGGAUUGCGAAAUCUUGUUCGAUUUUUCGGGUGCCCCUACCCUCUUUCUAGACUAUUGUUGGGCUACACCAACACUGGCAAGUCGCAGAACAAUUCAGGCUCAAAACUUCUUUAGAGGGUCCAUUGCUAAUAUGUACAUUUCACCAAUUGAGGGAAGGAUGUUUGGUUCUGCAUUUCUGCUGCCCAAUAGCCAAUUAGUCUGUACAACUGAAGCUGGUGAUGUAAAAUAGCAGUGAUGUACUCCCUCCGUUCCGAUUUACUCGUCGUGGUUUUAGUUCAAAACCAAGACGAGUAAAUCGGAACGGAGGGAGUACAUGAUAAUUCCUAAUCUAUAAGGGGGGCUUUGUUACAAAGAUUUUCUUUUGGAUUCAGUAGUAGUAAAACGGCUGCCUUCAGGUGGAUGUUUCACCGGCGUUGCUUUACUCAGAACAGUUUCAGUUCAUGCUGAAAUACAAUGUGGCCCUAUCUGUUCAUUUCCUACAGAUGAUCUUGCUGCUCUGGUGAGUUGCAGUAUCUGGAAUUCUGAUAGUGGUGGAGUCUUUGCUCCGAGAUCACAUCUUUUAUGCUUGGGUGCUCCAGUAUAAAUCAUGGUGAAGAACUGAAGAUUGAUUAUGAUUGCAGUGACUCUGAAUGAUGCCGUGAAGGCGCAGAAUGCUUGGACCACAUCUCUUGGCUGUCAAAAUAUACUGACAUGUAUAGGAAAAGAAACCCAACACUUGUUUUUCUUCAAACCAUUUAAUCAUACUGAAGUAGCCCUGGUAAACCAUGGUCGUCAACUACAUACAGCAGGAUUACCUGUGUUGUAAUCCUGUAUCUAGCGUUGUUGAAC
This 1998-nucleotide ribosomal RNA is filed under the name Triticum aestivum (bread wheat). RNAcentral describes it as "partial small subunit ribosomal RNA". The record is from RNAcentral. Lineage: Eukaryota; Viridiplantae; Streptophyta; Magnoliopsida; Poales; Poaceae.